Ziziphus jujuba (common jujube) is the source of this 1647-nucleotide long non-coding RNA. RefSeq lists it as uncharacterized. NCBI's taxonomy places the organism in Eukaryota, Viridiplantae, Streptophyta, Magnoliopsida, Rosales, Rhamnaceae. The transcript is spliced from 3 exons. The record is from RefSeq and is a predicted model, not a curated record.
UACGUUUCGUGUUUGCCUUCAUCUUUUGGAAAAUAUAUACAUACAUUCACAAACACAAUUCUCUCCAUAAGAUACUCUCAAUUUCAUCAUCAUAAACAUAAAAAAAAAAUUGAUCCAUCUCCUUCAAUCCCUUUCUCUCUCUCUCUCUCUCUUUGAUCAUUUGCUCCAUGGAAUCGUUCUUGAUUAUAUCUCUGUUUCUAUGAGGCUGUGAUUGACAAUAGUAGUGAAGAAGUGUUGCAACUUGGAUUUUCCUUCUAUUUUUCCCAAUUCAUCUGUCAAUAUUCCUUGCCUCCAAGCAAUUCUCCAAUGGUUGAGACACCGACGGUAAGGCAGCAACAGAUUACCUUUUUUUGUAAUGGACGGGCCUUUGUCUACGACCUGACUGAACUUCAGGAUCAAAUGAUUGGGGUCUUGGAGACUCGAAUAAAGAAAUCACAUUCUCAAAAGAGGAAGGCCUAGUCCUUUGUUAAUUUACCACACAUUCUAUUGCAAUAUAUAUAUAUACACGAUUUUAAUAUAAUGAUGAAUUUAUAGAAAAGGAUUGUAAAGGACAAUAUAUAUAGUUGGUAUCUUCAUGAUCUACAUGAUCACAAUAGAUAAUUAUCUCUUACAAUUCUUCUCAAUAAAUCCUCAUUAUAUUAAAUUUGUAUAUACAGCACUUUUUAAAAAAUAACAACAAAUGCAAAAAGCUUUUAUUGGGGUGGUGAUUUUCGGAAAAUGGGCAUACAUGGCAUCUAUAUUAGCCUCUCUUCCCUCAAUCCAAAAAAUUCAAUUUUGGUACACAUCUAAUCCAGGCCCAAUUCAUGGCCCAAAACUGACAAUGUCAACAUUUGUAUGUAUUUAUGUAUGUAUGUACAUGCUGAUGACGAAUUGAUAUAACAACAAAACAAUACUAUGAUAAAAAGUUUACGAAAAACUUGUCAUGGUUUAGCAUACAUAGCGAGAUUUGAAACCAAAUCCAAGCAUUUGGUCACAAAUAUGUCUUCUCUUAAAAAAAAAAAAUUUAUUUUUUAUACUGUUAUAAAUUUUUAAACUGUUUAUAAUUUUUUUAUACUGUUAUAAAAUGAAUGAAUACUUUUAGUCACAGCUGACUUUUGUACCAUGUUAGGUAUUCUAGCUUGCAUGCUUUAAUUCCAAUUAAAAAUCAUAUUUUAAAGGCUUAAUACUUUUUCAAAUCACGUAGGGUGAAAAAUUACAUAGGAAUUAAUUAAUCCAAAUAGUAAAAGUUGUUUCAAAUCAACAUCGAAAUUAAUAUUCCUCUCCCCAUUUUAUCCCCAAAAGAAAAAAAGUCACCUUCGAAAUUAAAUACUUUACUGUAUAUAAAUUUCUUUAUGAUGAUGUCUCUAUUAAAAUAUACAAUUUUACCAGUUCUCAUAGCAUUCCUGUUUGUUUUUUGUCCAUCUUUGACUUAGCAAAACAUACUAUGACAAAAAUAAUAAUAAUAAUAAUAAAACCUUUCCGAAUUAUGCUGUAAUUUUUUUUUUUUUUUUUCUUUCAUAUAUUGCUCUAUGUUUAGGCAUCCAAACUAGAAAUUGAAACACUUUAGUUGCAUUUGGUUGUAAAAUAUUAUUCUCAAAGAAGAAUUUUGCUCAAUAAAAAGAAAAAGUAAAUAAAAAUUUAGAGUUGGCUACUCACAAAUUUUGAAUU